CAUGAUUUGACUCAGUGGAAGUGUGAUGUUUACAUGUACAGAUCUUUGCGGUUCUUUCUGGGUUUUUUUCUGUUUCCUCAUCUUAUUUCUCCCUUCCAUCCCUCUUUCUUUUAUUUUUUUUUGUUUUUCAGUUCACCCGACUCCUUCCUUUUACACUCUGAAGGGAAAUGGGAUUAAAUAAAUACGAUUUUUACACACUUAUGGCAGGACGGGGACGCGCUAAAGUUUCUGUUCGUCUUCGAAACGUGCGUUGACGUUUGGUCAACGAAUGCUAACAACGCUAGCAGAUGUUAGCGACUCAGUUUUGUGCAGAACUCGAGGCCGAACCGUCCCCGUCUGAACAGCGACCGUCCGGGAGGGUUGGGAGUCGAGUUGUGUGUUCGUUUGGCCUCCAGAGGGCGCCACCGCCGUCCUCCUCGGCCGACCACAACCUGGUGGAGAUGAUUCCUCAGCGAAUGAUAAGCCAUGACGGACCCGCGGGUCUCUAUUAAUAUAUUUAGCAAAAGUUAAAACUGCAGAAGACAAAACUCAACCUCAGGAAACAAAUUAAAAAAAACAAGAAGGACAUCACUUUUGUAAAAACACUGAAGGCCCAUUUCCCUCUUUCUCUUUGAUACCAUAUAAAUUAUAUCAGAAAUUCUUUUUUAUAUUUAUUGUGUUUAUUAUUAUUAUUCUAUAUACGAGUGGAUCCUUUUUUUCCAGUAACCUGUGGCUGAAUAUUUUGAUUCUUUAGAAAAAUGUUGAUAAUAUAUGUGAAGCAAUGAUUGAGGAUUUUAAAAGAAAGAAGAAGUAUCUAGGGUUAUUUUUUUCCGUUUGUUGGCAUUUGUUUGGCCCAACAAUGAGAACAUAUCACUCUGGUCCAUGACAAAGAAACCAAUGAUUGAAAAACUGAGCUUUCUUUUGUGUGAUGUCACUGCUAAAGGCUGAAAUGUUUCUGGACUGAAAAAAAAUAUUGUGACUAUUUAGUUUUUUUUUGUUUUUAUUUUGUUUGUUUUCAUUUGUUCGUUUGUUUCCUCCCGAGCUGUACGUCACAAAGCUAAAUAUACUAAUAAAACGGUGUGCUAUCUAUCAAA
Molecule: long non-coding RNA, 1073 nt
Organism: Amphiprion ocellaris (clown anemonefish)
Lineage: Eukaryota; Metazoa; Chordata; Actinopteri; Pomacentridae
Source: Ensembl